Molecule: ribosomal RNA, 465 nt
Filed under: uncultured bacterium
Lineage: Bacteria
Description: partial 16S ribosomal RNA
Rfam family: Bacterial small subunit ribosomal RNA
Source: RNAcentral
CCUACGGGAGGCAGCAGUGGGGAAUAUUGCGCAAUGGGCGAAAGCCUGACGCAGCGACGCCGCGUGAGGGAUGAAGGUCUUCGGAUCGUUAACCUCUGUCAGCAGGGAAGUACGGUCACUGUGCUAAUCAGCAGUGAAUUGACGUUACCUGCAAAGGUAGCAUCGGCUAACUCCGUCCCAGCAGCUGCGGUAAUACGGAGGGUGCGAGCGUUAAUCGGACUUACUGGGCGUAAAGCGCUCGUAGGUGGUAUGUCAAGUCAAGGGUGAAAGCCCCGGGCUCAACCUGGGAACUGCCAUUGAAACUGGCAGACUGGAGUAUGUGAGAGGAUAGUGGAAUUCCAGGUGUAGGAGUGAAAUCCGUAGAUAUCUGGAAGAACAUCGAUGGCGAAGGCAACUAUCUGGCACAUAACUGACGCUGAGGAGCGAAAGCGUGGGUAGCAAACAGGAUUAGAUACCCCAGUAGUC